Molecule: ribosomal RNA, 375 nt
Filed under: Triticum aestivum (bread wheat)
Lineage: Eukaryota; Viridiplantae; Streptophyta; Magnoliopsida; Poales; Poaceae
Description: partial small subunit ribosomal RNA
Source: RNAcentral
AUGCCUGUAAACACUGGUCAGAAAAUCAGAAAAGUAGGAGAAUGUUGCAGAUGUGGAGACAAAUGGCAGCAUGGUCACAAAUGUAAAUUGAUUCCUAAUAUACAUUUGAUGCAACAAGAAGAACCAGAUCAAAUUGUAAUUGAUAGUGAGGAAGUUGAGCAACAGGAACAGCCAGAAAAUACAGAGGAAGGAGAACAGGCAAUGUUCAUCUCUACACAUGCAUUGGGUCAUCAGCUAGCCGUACCAACUCCUACAGUUAUAAUCCACAUUAAUGGAAAAAGAGCAGUGGCCUUACUAGAUUCUGGCAGUACUUCCUCCUUUAUUAACCAAGAUUUUGCUAUUAAGGCCAAUUGUCAGAUGUUACCUGUCAAAUAA